Molecule: ribosomal RNA, 429 nt
Filed under: bacterium
Lineage: Bacteria
Description: partial 16S ribosomal RNA
Rfam family: Bacterial small subunit ribosomal RNA
Source: RNAcentral
UAGGGAAUCUUCCACAAUGGACGCAAGUCUGAUGGAGCAACGCCGCGUGAGUGAAGAAGGUUUUUGGAUCGUAAAGCUCUGUUGUUGGUGAAGAAGGAUAGAGGCAGUAACUGGUCUUUAUUUGACGGUAAUCAACCAGAAAGUCACGGCUAACUACGUGCCAGCAGCCGCGGUAAUACAUAGGUGGCAAGCGUUGUCCGGAUUUAUUGGGCGUAAAGCGAGCGCAGGCGGAAUGAUAAGUCUGAUGUGAAAGCCCACGGCUCAACCGUGGAACUGCAUCGGAAACUGUCAUUCUUGAGUGCAGAAGAGGAGAGUGGAAUUCCAUGUGUAGCGGUGGAAUGCGUAGAUAUAUGGAAGAACACCAGUGGCGAAGGCGGCUCUCUGGUCUGCAACUGACGCUGAGGCUCGAAAGCAUGGGUAGCGAACAGG